Molecule: RNase P RNA, 364 nt
Filed under: Gaiellales bacterium
Lineage: Bacteria; Bacillati; Actinomycetota; Thermoleophilia; Gaiellales
Description: RNase P RNA component class A
Rfam family: Bacterial RNase P class A
About the family: Ribonuclease P (RNase P) is a ubiquitous endoribonuclease, found in archaea, bacteria and eukarya as well as chloroplasts and mitochondria.
Source: RNAcentral
AGAGCAGCCCGGGCAGCCGCGGCGGGGAACGGGAAACCGUCCGCCCGUCGAGGAAAGUCCGGACACCGUAGAGCAGGGUGCUGGAUAACGUCCAGCGGGGGAAACCCUAGGGAAAGUGCCACAGAAAUGACACAGCCGCGGCCGGCAACGGACGUUGGCAACGGUGAAAUGGUGCGGCAAGAGCGCACCGGCGCCACGGUGACGUGGCGGCCAGGUAAACCCCACCCGGUGCAAGGCCCAGAAGGGGGCGUCUGAGGGUUGCUCGCCCGAAGCUCCCGGGUUGGCCGCAGGAGGCGUGCGGCAACGCAGGCCCCAGAUGGAUGGCUGCCCACGACAGAAUCCGGCUUACAGGGCUGCUACUGCG